UACGUAGGGUGCGAGCGUUAAUCGGAUUUACUGGGCGUAAAGCGUGCGCAGGCGGCCCGUUAAGACAGGUGUGAAAUCCCUGGGCUCAACCUAGGAAUUGCGCUUGUGACUGGCGGGCUCGAGUACGGUAGAGGGGGGUGGAAUUCCUGGUGUAGCAGUGAAAUGCGUAGAGAUCAGGAGGAACACCGAUGGCGAAGGCCGCCCCCUGGGCCUGUACUGACGCUCAUGCACGAAAGCGUGGGGAGCAAACAGG
RNAcentral lists this ribosomal RNA (253 nucleotides) under uncultured microorganism. Its description in RNAcentral is "partial 16S ribosomal RNA". It matches the Rfam family "Bacterial small subunit ribosomal RNA", at positions 524 to 776 of the family's 1533-position model. The record is from RNAcentral.